AUUGAACGCUGGCGGUAUGCUUUACACAUGCAAGUCGAACGGCAGCACGGGUGCUUGCACCUGGUGGCGAGUGGCGAACGGGUGAGUAAUAUAUCGGAACAUGUCCGGAAGUGGGGGAUAGCUCGGCGAAAGCCGGAUUAAUACCGCAUAUGCCCUGAGGGGGAAAGGUGGGGAGUCGCAAGACCUAUCGCUUUCGGAGUGGCCGAUAUCGGAUUAGCUAGAUGGUGAGGUAAAGGCUUACCAUGGCGACGAUCCGUAGCUGGUCUGAGAGGACGACCAGCCACACUGGAACUGAGACACGGUCCAGACUCCUACGGGAGGCAGCAGUGGGGAAUUUUGGACAAUGGGGGAAACCCUGAUCCAGCCAUACCGCGUGAGUGAAGAAGG
RNAcentral lists this ribosomal RNA (387 nucleotides) under uncultured bacterium. RNAcentral describes it as "bacterial SSU rRNA". It matches the Rfam family "Bacterial small subunit ribosomal RNA", at positions 30 to 414 of the family's 1533-position model. The record is from RNAcentral.